GGUGACAGCCCCGUACACAAAAAUGCACAUGCUGUGAGCUCGAUGAGUAGGGCGGGACACGUGGUAUCCUGUCUGAAUAUGGGGGGACCAUCCUCCAAGGCUAAAUACUCCUGACUGACCGAUAGUGAACCAGUACCGUGAGGGAAAGGCGAAAAGAACCCCGGCGAGGGGAGUGAAAAAGAACCUGAAACCGUGUACGUACAAGCAGUGGGAGCACGCUUAGGCGUGUGACUGCGUACCUUUUGUAUAAUGGGUCAGCGACUUAUAUUCUGUAGCAAGGUUAACCGAAUAGGGGAGCCGAAGGGAAACCGAGUCUUAACUGGGCGUUAAGUUGCAGGGUAUAGACCCGAAACCCGGUGAUCUAGCCAUGGGCAGGUUGAAGGUUGGGUAACACUAACUGGAGGACCGAACCGACUAAUGUUGAAAAAUUAGCGGAUGACUUGUGGCUGGGGGUGAAAGGCCAAUCAAACCGGGAGAUAGCUGGUUCUCCCCGAAAGCUAUUUAGGUAGCGCCUCGUGAAUUCAUCUCCGGGGGUAGAGCACUGUUUCGGCAAGGGGGUCAUCCCGACUUACCAACCCGAUGCAAACUGCGAAUACCGGAGAAUGUUAUCACGGGAGACACACGGCGGGUGCUAACGUCCGUCGUGAAGAGGGAAACAACCCAGACCGCCAGCUAAGGUCCCAAAGUCAUGGUUAAGUGGGAAACGAUGUGGGAAGGCCCAGACAGCCAGGAUGUUGGCUUAGAAGCAGCCAUCAUUUAAAGAAAGCGUAAUAGCUCACUGGUCGAGUCGGCCUGCGCGGAAGAUGUAACGGGGCUAAACCAUGCACCGAAGCUGCGGCAGCGACGCUUAUGCGUUGUUGGGUAGGGGAGCGU
Molecule: ribosomal RNA, 873 nt
Filed under: Escherichia coli
Lineage: Bacteria; Pseudomonadati; Pseudomonadota; Gammaproteobacteria; Enterobacterales; Enterobacteriaceae
Description: partial 23S ribosomal RNA
Rfam family: Bacterial large subunit ribosomal RNA
Source: RNAcentral